RNAcentral lists this ribosomal RNA (439 nucleotides) under uncultured bacterium. RNAcentral describes it as "partial 16S ribosomal RNA". It matches the Rfam family "Bacterial small subunit ribosomal RNA", at positions 339 to 795 of the family's 1533-position model. The record is from RNAcentral.
CUACGGGCUGCAGCAGUGGGGAAUAUUGCACAAUGGAGGAAACUCUGAUGCAGCAACGCCGCGUGGAGGAUGACACUUUUCGGAGCGUAAACUCCUUUUAUAUAGGAAGAAGAUGACGGUACUAUAUGAAUAAGCGCCGGCUAACUCCGUGCCAACAGCCGCGGUAAUACGGAGGGCGCAAGCGUUACUCGGAAUCACUGGGCGUAAAGAGCGUGUAGGCGGAUUAAAAAGUCAGAAGUGAAAUCCUAUAGCUUAACUAUAGAACUGCUUCUGAAACUCUUAAUCUAGAAUAUGGGAGAGGUAGAUGGAAUUUCUGGUGUAGGGGUAAGAUCCGUAGAGAUCAGAAGGAAUACCGAUUGCGAAGGCGAUCUACUAGAACAUUAUUGACGCUGAGACGCGAAAGCGUGGGGAGCAAACAGGAUUAGAUACCCGUGUAGUC